ACUCCUACGGGGCGCAGCAGGGAGGAAUAUUGGUCAAUGGGCGCGAGCCUGAACCAGCCAAGUCGCGUGAGGGAGGACGGCCCUACGGGUUGUAAACCUCUUUUGCCGGGGAGCAACGGGCGUCACGUGUGGCGCCACUGAGAGUACCCGGAGCAAAAGCAUCGGCUAACUCCGUGGCAGCAGCCGCGGCAAUACGGAGGAUGCGAGCGUUAUCCGGAUUUAUUGGGUUUAAAGGGGGCGUAGGCGGA
This 248-nucleotide ribosomal RNA is filed under the name uncultured bacterium. RNAcentral describes it as "partial 16S ribosomal RNA". It matches the Rfam family "Bacterial small subunit ribosomal RNA", at positions 335 to 579 of the family's 1533-position model. The record is from RNAcentral.